Molecule: transfer RNA, 75 nt
Filed under: Trioceros deremensis
Lineage: Eukaryota; Metazoa; Chordata; Lepidosauria; Squamata; Chamaeleonidae
Description: tRNA-Ile
Source: RNAcentral
GGAAGUGUGCCCGAGAACAAGGAAUACUUUGAUAGAGUAAACACAGAGACAUAAACCCUCUCACUUCCCACACCA